This 495-nucleotide ribosomal RNA is filed under the name uncultured bacterium. RNAcentral describes it as "partial 16S ribosomal RNA". It matches the Rfam family "Bacterial small subunit ribosomal RNA", at positions 29 to 506 of the family's 1533-position model. The record is from RNAcentral.
AACGAACGCUGGCGGCGCGUCUUAAGCAUGCAAGUCGAACGGCAAGAGAGGAGCUUGCUUCUCUCCUAGAGUGGCGGACUGGUGAGGAACACGUGGGUAAUCUACCCUUAAGAUGGGGAUAGCUGCUAGAAAUAGCAGGUAAUACCGAAUACACUCGGCAUAUCACAAGAGGUGUUGAGGAAAGGAAGCUACGGCUUCGCUUGAGGAUGAGCUUGCGUCCCAUUAGCUAGUUGGUGAGGUAAAGGCCCACCAAGGCGACGAUGGGUAUCCGGCCUGAGAGGGUGAACGGACACAUUGGGACUGAGAUACGGCCCAAACUCCUACGGGAGGCAGCAGCUAAGAAUAUUCCGCAAUGGACGGAAGUCUGACGGAGCGACGCCGCGUGGAUGAAGAAGGCUGAAAAGUUGUAAAAUCCUUUUGUUGAUGAAGAAUAAGGGUGAGAGGGAAUGCUCAUCUGAGGACGGUAAUCGACGAUUAAGCCCCGGCUAAUUACGU